AUAUCAAUAAGCGGAGGAAAAGAAACCAACAGGGAUUGCCCUAGUAACGGCGAGUGAAGCGGCAACAGCUCAAAUUUGAAAUCUGGCUCUCGGGCCCGAGUUGUAAUUUGUAGAGGAUGCUUUUGGUGCGGUGCCUUCCGAGUGCCCUGGAACGGGACGCCAUAGAGGGUGAGAGCCCCGUCUGGUUGGAUGCCAAUCCUCUGUAAAGCUCCUUCGACGAGUCGAGUAGUUUGGGAAUGCUGCUCUAAAUGGGAGGUAUAUGUCUUCUAAAGCUAAAUACCGGCCAGAGACCGAUAGCGCACAAGUAGAGUGAUCGAAAGAUGAAAAGCACUUUGAAAAGAGAGUUAAAAAGUACGUGAAAUUGUUGAAAGGGAAGCGUUUAUGACCAGACUUGGGCUUGGUUAAUCAUCCAGGGUUCUCCCUGGUGCACUUUUCCAGUCCAGGCCAGCAUCAGUUUGCUUCGGGGGAUAAAGGCUUCGGGAAUGUGGCUCUCUCCGGGGAGUGUUAUAGCCCGUUGCGUAAUACCCUGGGGCGGACUGAGGUACGCGCUUCUGCAAGGAUGCUGGCGUAAUGGUCAUCAACGACCCGUCUUGAAACACGGACCAAGGAGUCGUCUUCGUAUGCGAGUGUUCGGGUGUCAAACCCCUACGCGUAAUGAAAGUGAACGCAGGUGAGAGCUUCGGCGCAUCAUCGACCGAUCCUGAUGUUCUCGGAUGGAUUUGAGUAAGAGCAUACGGGGCCGGACCCGAAAGAAGGUGAACUAUGCUUGUAUAGGGUGAAGCCAGAGGAAACUCUGGUGGAGGCUCGCAGCGGUUCUGACGUGCAAAUCGAUCGUCAAAUAUGAGCAUGGGGGCGAAAGACUAAUCGAACCUUCUAGUAGCUGGUUUCCGCG
This 892-nucleotide ribosomal RNA is filed under the name Fusarium decemcellulare. RNAcentral describes it as "eukaryotic LSU rRNA". It matches the Rfam family "Eukaryotic large subunit ribosomal RNA", at positions 40 to 962 of the family's 3401-position model. The record is from RNAcentral. Lineage: Eukaryota; Fungi; Ascomycota; Sordariomycetes; Hypocreales; Nectriaceae.